Molecule: ribosomal RNA, 880 nt
Filed under: Chloropicon laureae
Lineage: Eukaryota; Viridiplantae; Chlorophyta; Chloropicophyceae; Chloropicales; Chloropicaceae
Description: partial Bacterial large subunit ribosomal RNA
Rfam family: Bacterial large subunit ribosomal RNA
Source: RNAcentral
GCCGGAGUGGGUGACAGCCCCGUAGAGGUAGGAAAGAUAAGAGACUUGAGUAGGGCGGGACACGUGAAAUCCUGUCUGAACAUGGGGGGACCAUCCUCCAAGGCUAAAUACUCCUGACUGACCGAUAGUGAACCAGUACCGUGAGGGAAAGGCGAAAAGAACCCCUGUGAGGGGAGUGAAAUAGAUCCUGAAACCGUAUGCGUACAAGCAGUCGGAGCGGACUUGUUCCGUGACGGCGUACCUUUUGUAUAAUGGGUCAUCGACUUGGUCUAUCUAGCAAGCUUAAGCCGUUAGGUGUAGGCGCAGCGAAAGCGAGUCUUAAUAGGGCGCAUGAGUUAGAUGGAUCAGACCCGAAACCGAGUGAUCUAGGCAUGGCCAGGUUGAAGGUGCGGUAACACGCACUGGAGGACCGAACCCACAUCUGUUGAAAAAGAUCGGGAUGAGCUGUGCCUAGGGGUGAAAGGCCAAUCAAACUCGGAGAUAGCUGGUUCUCUGCGAAAUCUAUUUAGGUAGAGCGUCAUCCGAAUACCCCGGGGGGUAGAGCACUGGAUGGGUAAUGGGGCCCCACAGGCUUACUGAUCCUAACCAAACUCCGAAUACCCGGGAGUACUAGAUGGCAGACACACUGCGGAUGCUAACGUCCGUAGUGGAGAGGGAAACAACCCUGACCUACGACUAAGGCCCCUAAUUCAUGGCUAAGUGGGAAAGCAGGUGGGACGACCAAAACAACCAGGAGGUUGGCUUAGAAGCAGCCAUCCUUUAAAGAUAGCGUAACAGCUCACUGGUCUAAAUAAGUUGUCCUGCGGCGAAGAUGUAACGGGGCUCAAGCCAUGAGCCGAAGUCUAGGAUGCCGUAAGGCAUGGUAGCAGAGCGUAGUGUG